AUAAUUUUUAAUGAAAAAGAGCCUUACUAUAUGACACGAUGUUUAUCGAUUUUAACAGUUCAAACCAAUUCAAAUGGAUAUCCCUAAGGAACAUCUCUAUAAUGCCUCAGUGCUUCCGGUCCUUCCUUUCUCGAAAGCACUGCGAAGGCUGCCGGCAGCGUGGUUGUUCCUUUCGCGAGUUGGUGUCUGGCGCACAGCGCGAACGUCUCAUGAGCAAGAAGCCGUAGAGACGAUGCUCUCAAUGUUGGACACCGAAGUGAGGCAACUCAUCGGGCACAACGCCAAAAUGUCCCUGUUGUGUCCUGGCCCUGGGUCACGCGUGUCGCGCCUUGACAGCCGUGACCUUGAACGACCUUGACCGGCCGGGCCGGGCCGAGCGGCCGAGGGUCAGUAUCGUCCGAGCGGCGCUGCAGUGUCAACACAGCUGAGUGCCGCGAGGUGAGGUGAGGCGUGUUCGCCGAGACGGUCCGGCCACAGUGAAAUAGUGAAAUAGUGGUGUAAUCGAUAAUAUUGCGUGGCCAGUACGCGAGUGAGAUUGACCCUGUGCGCGACACCGAUUCAGAGACGCACAUAAGUUAACACCGUCGUGUCGGAUCGCUCGUACCGGUGAUGGGAGACAACGAGCAGCUGGAGCGUCUGAUGGCGCUCAUGGUUCAGCAGUCAGCAGGCUGCCAUGCUGGAGUAGCUCCUCCCCAGCCGGAUGCAGCUACCAGCUGCGCAAACUGUCUAGAGCGGCCAACCGGCUGUCGUCGCCUCCGCCGCUCCUAUGGCUAGACUUCGGUCUCACAUGGACUGCCGUCGGUAGUGUUCACAUGCCAGCCCAUACAUUUUACCUGUAUUAACUUUUUAAUGUCUGUGCCUGUGUAACUAUUGUACGUGCCUGUACUUAACAGUGUUUGAAUUGUACAUCGUUCGCACAGUCUGUGGACCGUGGGGAACGCCGCUUGACAUGCAUUUUUGCACUUACCUGCAUUCCGUGUUAAAAGUAAAGUAAAGGGACUGAGCUGUCGUGCACCGGGAGAUAUUAUGGUCUCUUGCUAAACGACACAGUUGAAACUCAGCACGCUGCACAGUG
RNAcentral lists this long non-coding RNA (1075 nucleotides) under Amphibalanus amphitrite. Its description in RNAcentral is "uncharacterized LOC122383293". Lineage: Eukaryota; Metazoa; Arthropoda; Thecostraca; Balanomorpha; Balanidae. The record is from RNAcentral.